RNAcentral lists this ribosomal RNA (484 nucleotides) under uncultured bacterium. RNAcentral describes it as "partial 16S ribosomal RNA". It matches the Rfam family "Bacterial small subunit ribosomal RNA", at positions 30 to 507 of the family's 1533-position model. The record is from RNAcentral.
AUUGAACGCUGGCGGCAGGCCUAACACAUGCAAGUCGAGCGGAUGAAGGGAGCUUGCUCCUGGAUUCAGCGGCGGACGGGUGAGUAAUGCCUAGGAAUCUGCCUGGUAGUGGGGGAUAACGUCCGGAAACGGGCGCUAAUACCGCAUACGUCCUGAGGGAGAAAGUGGGGGAUCUUCGGACCUCACGCUAUCAGAUGAGCCUAGGUCGGAUUAGCUAGUUGGUGGGGUAAAGGCCUACCAAGGCGACGAUCCGUAACUGGUCUGAGAGGAUGAUCAGUCACACUGGAACUGAGACACGGCCCAGACUCCUACGGGAGGCAGCAGUGGGGAAUAUUGGACAAAGGGCGAAAGCCUGAUCCAGCCAUGCCGCGUGUGUGAAGAAGGUCUUCGGAUUGUAAAGCACUUUAAGUUGGGAGGAAGGGCAGUAAGUUAAUACCUUGCUGUUUUGACGUUACCAACAGAAUAAGCACCGGCUAACUUCGUG